AACGUAGGAGACAAACGUUAUCCGGAGUUACUGGGCGUAAAGGGCGUGUAGGUGGUUUUGUAAGUCUGGCGUGAAAUUUUUCGGCUUAACCGGGAAAGGUCGUCGGAUACUGCGGAGCUAGAGGACGGUAGAGGCGUGUGGAAUUCCGGGUGUAGUGGUGAAAUGCGUAGAGAUCCGGAGGAACACCAGUGGCGAAGGCGACACGCUGGGCCGUACCUGACACUGAUGCGCGACAGCAUGGGGAGCAAACAGG
RNAcentral lists this ribosomal RNA (253 nucleotides) under uncultured bacterium. RNAcentral describes it as "partial 16S ribosomal RNA". It matches the Rfam family "Bacterial small subunit ribosomal RNA", at positions 524 to 776 of the family's 1533-position model. The record is from RNAcentral.